GAGAAGAGAAUGAGAUGGGGCAGAGCUGACAAAGGACUUCAAUCACUUAAUAUAAUGAUUUAUUUCUCCAGUUCAGUGGUACCCAACUAGGAUUCCAAAGAACUUUGGCCUGAACCCCUCGGCCGACCCUAGCAUAAUCGCCCUUCAGGCCCGGAUUGCUGCUGCUCUCACCUUCCCUCAAUUCAUAUGGGGGGCAAAACAAGACUGUAUUUCCCCGCAACGAACCCUGGAGUGUUUCGCUUUAGCGGACUCCGGUCCACUCCCAUCAGAGGUUGUCCUUCUUUCGCCUCACCUCCAGCCCAGACGCAGCAACCUGGCCGGGCCCAGCGCCGCAAACCUCAGGUCUCUACAGCGGAGGUGCACCUCGACUCUCCCCACAAUUCCCUCCGCAACACCACUUCCGGCUUACCUCACAAAUUCCACAUUCCAGCCGGAAAGACCUGGGUAGGCCUUCUGCGCAUGCGUAAGACCGGGGCGGCGUCCGGGAGUCGAGAGAGCCGGCGGUGCAGGCUCCACUUUUCCACUUCCCUACACAGUGCCGGCAGUCUCGCGGGAUUUCCUCCUCUCGCGGGAGUUAUUUGAAUGCCUGAGCGGUAAAGACUCCCUAGGGGCCUGGAGGGGGGAGUGCUCUCUGACAAGAAGCCUGAGGAGACGCCGCGGAGAGCUCUGCCUCUAGGUUGGUGGGCGGGUCGGCUGUAGCUGAACGCGGACAGGAUUUGUCCGGACAGAGUCCCAGAGCCAUGGGAGCGAAAAGAGACUGCUGCGGAUUAAGAAGACCUUUCGGCUGGCGCAGCAGCCGCACCACAACCAGGGGAAGCUGGUGGUGGCGCUGAAUCGCUCCUGCCGCGGGUAAGCGCUCCCGGCCCGCGCCCGCCCCAGCCCGGAGCUGGUGGGGCCAGGACGCUGGUUCAUACACUCCAAGGGGUAACUGUCAGAUUCUGAAAAGAAUUAAAGAAUUGCUGGAUCCAAGAGGAAAUGUGUUUGCAAAUAUGAUAGAUAUUUACAGUUGCCCUUCAUGGAGUGAUCCGUUCUACACUCCUAUCAGCAGAGAAGAGAAUGAGAGGUAUUGCUUUUUUUCUGUGGGGGAGGGGUGUGGGAUUGGAAAGAACAGGAAUAUAAUUGGGAUUUUUUGAUAGAUAAGUAAAAUCCUGAAAAGUUUGGGAAUAUGAAUUAGAAUGAUAAAAUGUCUAACAAAAAUAAAUCGUUGUGUGAUAGGCUUAAUUUUAAAAAGCAGUGUUGAAUUGGGACCAUUGGGUGUUGGGUUUUUUCUUUUUCUUUUUUUGUUCCUGAACUGUACCUUUAGCACAUUUCUCUAGAUAGAUUCAAGGAUGUUUAGAAAAAUCAAAAUCUCUUGUGAUCAAAAUCUGUGCCACCUUGCUCCAUGACAGAAGCAAUUCAAAAACAAGAGACUUGGGUAAAUAUUACCCAGGUUUAUUUUCCUCAGUUUUUUCUACUGGAUGGAUAAUUAAUAAUUAUUAAAGAGUAGAGAUUUUAGCCGGGCACGGUAGCUCACGCCUGUAAUCCCAGCACUUUGAGAGGCCGAAGCGGGUGG
Molecule: long non-coding RNA, 1552 nt
Organism: Rhinopithecus roxellana (golden snub-nosed monkey)
Lineage: Eukaryota; Metazoa; Chordata; Mammalia; Primates; Cercopithecidae
Exons: 3
Source: RefSeq, a predicted model, not a curated record